Molecule: ribosomal RNA, 253 nt
Filed under: uncultured bacterium
Lineage: Bacteria
Description: partial 16S ribosomal RNA
Rfam family: Bacterial small subunit ribosomal RNA
Source: RNAcentral
UACGGGGGGGGCAAGCGUUGUUCGGAAUUACUGGGCGUAAAGGGCUCGUAGGUGGCCAACUAAGUCAGACGUGAAAUCCCUCGGCUUAACCGGGGAACUGCGUCUGAUACUGCAUGGCUAGAGUACGGCAGAGGGGGAUGGAAUUCCGCGUGUAGCAGUGAAAUGCGUAGAUAUGCGGAGGAACACCGAUGGCGAAGGCAAUCCCCUGGGCCUGUACUGACGCUCAUGCACGAAAGCGUGGGGAGCAAACAGG